ACAGCCAUAUCUCAUUGAAACACCAGUUCUCGUCCAAUCCCUUAAAUUAAGCUACACUGAGCCUGGUUAGUAGCUAGAUGGAUUACUGCUUGGGAAUACCAGGUGC
This is a non-coding RNA of Acanthosepion pharaonis, 106 nucleotides long. The record is from the annotation of a GenBank genome assembly. NCBI's taxonomy places the organism in Eukaryota, Metazoa, Mollusca, Cephalopoda, Sepiida, Sepiidae.